Molecule: ribosomal RNA, 451 nt
Filed under: uncultured bacterium
Lineage: Bacteria
Description: partial 16S ribosomal RNA
Rfam family: Bacterial small subunit ribosomal RNA
Source: RNAcentral
GUGGGGAAUAUUGGACAAUGGGGGGAACCCUGAUCCAGCCAUGCCGCGUGUGUGAAGAAGGCCUUUUGGUUGUAAAGCACUUUAAGCGAGGAGGAGGCUACCGAGAUUAAUACUCUUGGAUAGUGGACGUUACUCGCAGAAUAAGCACCGGCUAACUCUGUGCCAGCAGCCGCGGUAAUACAGAGGGUGCAAGCGUUAAUCGGAUUUACUGGGCGUAAAGCGCGCGUAGGUGGCCAAUUAAGUCAAAUGUGAAAUCCCCGAGCUUAACUUGGGAAUUGCAUUAGAUACUGGUUGGCUAGAGUAUGGGAGAGGAUGGUAGAAUUCCAGGUGUAGCGGUGAAAUGCGUAGAGAUCUGGAGGAAUACCGAUGGCGAAGGCAGCCAUCUGGCCUAAUACUGACACUGAGGUGCGAAAGCAUGGGGAGCAAACAGGAUUAGAUACCCUAGUAGUCC